AGAGUUUGAUCAUGGCUCAGAACGUACGCUGGCGGCACGCCUAACACAUGCAAGUCGAACGAAGUAGCAAUACUUAGUGGCAGACGGGUGAGUAACAUGUGGGUAUCUGCCCUUUGGCCUGGAAUAACACGGGGAAACUUGUGCUAAUACCGGAUAAGUCUUUACAGAGAAAGCUUUAUGCACCAUUGGAUGAGCCCGCACUUGAUUAGUUUGUUGGUAGGGUAAUGGCCUACCAAGACUGUGAUCAAUAGCUGAUUUGAGAGGAUGAUCAGCCACAUUGGGACUGAGACACGGCCCAAACUCCUACGGGAGGCAGCAGUGGGGAAUCUUGCACAAUGGAGGAAACUCUGAUGCAGCGAUGCCGCGUGAGUGAAGAAGGCCUUUGGGUUGUAAAGCUCUUUCGUCGGGGAAGAAAAUGACUGUACCCGAAUAAGAAGGUCCGGCUAACUUCGUGCCAGCAGCCGCGGUAAUACGAAGGGACCUAGCGUAGUUCGGAAUUACUGGGCUUAAAGAGUUCGUAGGUGGUUGAAAAAGUUGGUGGUGAAAUCCCAGAGCUUAACUCUGGAACUGCCAUCAAAACUUUUCAGCUAGAGUAUGAUAGAGGAAAGCAGAAUUUCUAGUGUAGAGGUGAAAUUCGUAGAUAUUAGAAAGAAUACCAAUUGCGAAGGCAGCUUUCUGGAUCAUUACUGACACUGAGGAACGAAAGCAUGGGUAGCGAAGAGGAUUAGAUACCCUCGUAGUCCAUGCCGUAAACGAUGUGUGUUAGACGUUGGAAAUUUAUUUUCAGUGUCGCAGCGAAAGCGAUAAACACACCGCCUGGGGAGUACGACCGCAAGGUUAAAACUCAAAUGAAUUGACGGGGACCCGCACAAGUAGUGGAGCAUGUGGUUUAAUUCGAAGAUACGCGCAGAACCUUACCAACACUUGACAUGUUCGUCGCGACUCUAAGAGAUUAGAGUUUUCGGUUCGGCCGGACGAAACACAGGUGCUGCAUGGCUGUCGUCAGCUCGUGUCGUGAGAUGUUGGGUUAAGUCCCGCAACGAGCGCAACCCUCACUUUUAGUUGCCAUCAUUAAGUUGGGCACUCUGAAAGAACUGCCAGUGAUAAGCUGGAGGAAGGUGGGGAUGACGUCAAGUCCUCAUGGCCCUUACGUGUUGGGCUACACACGUGCUACAAUGGUAUCUACAACAGGAAGCAAAACUGCGAAGUUAAGCAAAUCCUUAAAAGAUACCUCAGUUCGGAUUGCACUCUGCAACUCGAGUGCAUGAAGCUGGAAUUACUAGUAAUCGUGGAUCAGCGUGCCACGGUGAAUGCGUUCCCGGGUCUUGUACACACCGCCCGUCACACCAUGGGAGUUGGUUCUACCUUAAGGCAAGGUUUCAAACCCUUGACCACGGUAUAGUCAGCGACUGGGGUGAAGUCGUAACAAGGUAACCGUA
This 1439-nucleotide ribosomal RNA is filed under the name uncultured bacterium. RNAcentral's name for it is "bacterial SSU rRNA". It matches the Rfam family "Bacterial small subunit ribosomal RNA". The record is from RNAcentral.